Molecule: ribosomal RNA, 213 nt
Filed under: uncultured microorganism
Description: partial 16S ribosomal RNA
Rfam family: Bacterial small subunit ribosomal RNA
Source: RNAcentral
GUGCAGCAGUCGAGAAUCUUCCACAAUGGGGGAAACCCUGAUGGAGCGACGCCGCGUGCGGGAUGAGGGGCCCUAUGGGUUGUAAACCGCUGUUCAGUGGAAAGAACAUCCUCCGGCUGAAUAGGUCGGAGGCCUGACGUUACCACUGCAGAAAGUCCCGGCAACUCCGUGCCAGCAGCCGCGGUAAUACGGGGGGACGAGCGUUGUCCGGAA